RNAcentral lists this long non-coding RNA (984 nucleotides) under Homo sapiens (human). RNAcentral describes it as "HSALNT0143378". The record is from RNAcentral. Lineage: Eukaryota; Metazoa; Chordata; Mammalia; Primates; Hominidae.
UGGGACUACAGGCGCCCGCGACUACGCCCGGCUAAUUUUUUGUAUUUUUAGUAGAGACGGGGUUUCACCGUGUUAGCCAGGAUGGUCUUCGUCUCCUGACCUCGUGAUCCGCCCGCCUCGGUCCCCUAAAGUGCUGGGAUUACAGGCAUACACUCUUAAGUAACCUGGUGGGGACCCAUCAAACUACAAAGGGUUAUAGCUACUCUUACAGAAGACAUAAGAAGAUAUAUACGCAGAGAAGACAUCAUAAGACCUGAAGAUGAAAAACUUCUGAUCACAGAAGAAAGAUAUACAACAGCCUUGAAGCAUUCUGAGAACCCAGUGAAGGCAAUAAUGUCUCUUCCCAGAGAAAUUCACAGAUCUGGGCUACAUUUUGCCAAGGAGAGGAACAUCUGUGGAGUCUGGAAAGUGGAAGUAAAUCGGAAGCUUUAUUCUCUGGAGGUGGUGGCUGCCAGAUGAACAUGCACAUGAGCAAGACACAGAAGACAUGGAGAUCCAUGUAGAAUCAUAAGAAGGUAAAGAAGAAGGAAAAAAUGUAGCCCCUAGAAGCUUGGAACUGCCCUCAGACUACAGCCAGGAAGCAGACAGGGACUUCAGUUCCACAGCCACAAGGAGCUGAAUUCUGCCAACCAGAAUGAGCAAGAACAUGGAUUCUCCCCUCAAGCCUCCAGAAAAGAAUGCAGCCUACAGUCAGCACUUUAAGUCCCAUGCAACCUAUAAUAGAUUUCUGACCUACAGAGCUUUAAUGUCAUAAAUUGGUGUUGUUUUAAGUCAUGAAGUUUGUGGUAGCUUCUUAUGACAGUAAUUGAAAACUAAUACCUGGUCUUUUUAGCAGAAUAACGAGCACCCUGUAAUGUGUCAUUCAUGCAUAUCUUUUUUUUUUUUUUUUUUUUGGUGGGGGCAGGAAGACAAAACUCUAGAGUUUAAUCUUCCAGCUGACUGACUUGGAAGUGUUCCUGUCAAUAUAAAAGAUCUUGUUGGGGG